This 413-nucleotide long non-coding RNA is filed under the name Zea mays. Its description in RNAcentral is "long non-coding RNA (ZMAY_LNC004471)". The record is from RNAcentral. Lineage: Eukaryota; Viridiplantae; Streptophyta; Magnoliopsida; Poales; Poaceae.
GGCCAUGUCCAUCAUGAACUCCUUCAUCAACGACAUCUUCGAGAAGCUCGCGGCCGAGUCCGCCAAGCUGGCGCGCUACAACAAGAAGCCCACCAUCACCUCCCGCGAGAUCCAGACCUCGGUGCGCCUCGUCCUCCCCGGCGAGCUCGCCAAGCACGCCGUCUCCGAGGGCACUAAGGCCGUUACGAAGUUCACCUCGUCUUAGGAUCCUUGUAAUGGUCAUGUGGGCGUCGGCGGUAGGCGUGGCUCAGUUUAUGUGAUACUGCUAGCGAUGGAUGAUGAUGAUCUGCGUGUAAUUGAAUUAAAGAAUUGUGCUGAUCUUUCUACAACACUGUUCCACAUCACUCGUUGCCCGCCAGUGAGCCGCCAAUUACAUGUGCAAAUCUACAUCAACUUUCUGAAAGAAGCUAGUU